Long non-coding RNA from Marmota monax (woodchuck), 7283 nucleotides. RefSeq lists it as uncharacterized. The record is from RefSeq and is a predicted model, not a curated record. The transcript has 2 exons. NCBI's taxonomy places the organism in Eukaryota, Metazoa, Chordata, Mammalia, Rodentia, Sciuridae.
CAUAGAGGACAAACCUCCGAAAUCCUAGAAAGCCCUCCGGAAGAGGUAGAGGAUGUUCCUGCAGAGGAAAAUCUGGAAGAGAUUCCUAGAAGGGCUCAGAGUUCUUCUCAGCCACGUGGCUUAGAAGCCCAAAUUCAAAAUGGCGAUAGUGCAGAGUCUGACCAUGGCUCACAAUCUGAGGGAGAAGAAUCAGACUUUGAAAUUCAGGACUUACAGAGAAAUCUUAACAGGCUGCGUUUAACACCGCCUGCCCAGGCUAUUCGAAUUCGGCCGGUACCUGCUAAAAGGACAAAAUUUAACAGAUUGUACGUGCACAUCCUAUAGAUGAAGCUUUAUUGGUGUUCACGGAUGGUUCUAACUCAGGUAAAGCAGGUUUUUAUAGUCGUGUUCACACAGAGAUAAUACAAACUUCUUAUACUUCUGCCCAAAGAGCAGAGCUUCAAGCUCUGAUUUGUGCCUUUAAUUACUUUUCUAAUGAGCCUAUUAAUAUUUAUUCUGACAGCUUAUAUGCAGUCAAAGUUACUAAAAACAUUGAAACUUCAGUUAUUGGGUAUACUUCAUCACAGGAGUUAUUUGAAUUAUUUCAUAAUUUACAAAAGGCAGUGCUAAUGCGAAAAUACCCAUGUUUCAUAGGGCACAUAUGGGCUCAUACUAAUCUUCCAGGACCCUUAGUUUCAGGUAAUGACAAGAUUGAUAAAUUAGUAACUUUUUGUCAACAGAUGUCUUCAUAUGACUGUGCACUAGCUUCCCAUUCCUUGCAUCAUCAAAUGCUCCAGCUUAUGUAAGCUCUUCUUUUCAACAAUUUUGCCAAGAGUUUAAAAUUAAUCAUAAAACAAAAAUUCCUUAUAACCUCCAAGGUCAAGCCAUUGUGAAACAAGCUCAUUUAUCUAUUAAGCUUCAAUUACAAAAAUUAAAGGGGGGGAAUAGGUUUAUGACUCCCCAAAAUAGGAGCCCCUAUCCAGAAGGAAGAGAUAUCGGAAAAGGAUGAAGAAAGACCAGAUUGACCCAGCCGAAAAGCUGAUUUCAUGUGAAGAUGUGAAGAAGCUAACAACCCAGGCUUCCCAAAUACUUCGACACCUAGGAGAGAACAGGACCCCAGUGAUGAUGGUAACAACAGUAAUUGCCCUGUUGGGCUGUCAGGUAAAGGGAGAUCAAGUAGACACUUACUGGACAUAUUUCCCAGAUCCACCCCUGGUACACCCAGCUGUGUGGACUGGAGAAUCUAUUCCAGUAUUUACUAAUGACUCAUUCAUGAUGGGAGGAUUUACGGACACUCAUAUUACUCCCAAUCAUGUGACUAGAUUUAAUUAUUCUGGCUACAGUGCCCAAUUACCUUUGUGUUGGUCCCAUGAUAAACAUGCUGGCUGUCUGAAAGUAUCAUUUGAAGAAAAGACAGCGAUUGGUAGACCUAGACUGAGAAAUAAUUCUAUUUAUGGGGACUUAAGACCUAUACUAGAUCAGUAAUUGAGAUGGGACUUUCCCAUAACAAGCCAGUCAUUUCUGUAAAACCUCCACGGAUACCCCACUGUCCAAAUAGUUCUACAAUUGAGAUUGGCACCUUUCCUAGAAGGAUGGAUUGUGUGAAUACCUUUCCUGUACAACAUAAGGUGUCUAAAGAUAGUGGGUAUAUUUUAGACUGGUCUCCAAAAAUUGAUAAGAGACAAUUACGAAGAAAUUCUGCUAUGACACCUGCAGGAUUUGUUAGUAAUAUUUUAACUUAUAGUGAAGAUGGUGUUCAAAAGGAUGUUUGGCGUUUAAUUGCUGCCUCAGAAUUCUUACAUUUUACAGACAAACCUUUACCAAAAUUUGUUGGCAAGAACUGUAAAGAGGGAUCUUGCUAUGGCUUACAAGCCUGUGUCCAAUCUCCUUAUGUUUUAAUUAUUGGAAAUGUAAAGGUUAAAUGGAUAGAUGACAGAUAUUGUUACUUGUAAUAAAUGUAACCUAACCAAUUGUAUUACUAGGUAUAAUGGAGGAAAAGGAGUGCUGAUACUACAUCAGCCCUCUUUCGUUUUAUUGCCUGCUAAUAUUUCAGAGCCAUGGUAUGCGGAUACUGGUUUACAAGUCUUGCAGCAAAUUCAUGCCCAGUUAGCAAGACCUAAACGUGCUAUUGGAGUUAUAAUUGUUGGUGUUUUGGCGCUAGUCUCCUUUAUUGCCUCAACUGUCUCUGCGUCUCUGACAUUGUCUCAAAAUAUUCAGCAUGCAAAAUUUCUUAAUAAUUUAGCUCAAAAUACUUCCAAGGCUCUGCGUAAUCAAGUAAGUAUUGAUGAAAGGAUUGAAACUAAAUUAAACGCCUUAGAGGCGACUGUUAUAGACAUAGGUAAUGAACUUUCAUCCUUAAAAUUUAAGGAAAGGCUUAAAUGCCAUGCUAAUUAUAAAUAUGUUUGUGUUACAGAUGCCAAGUACAAUGCUUCUCUCUGGGAUUGGGAGAAGGUUAAAAACCAUUUGUUAGGUAUUUGGCAAGAUAGUAAUAAUAGCUUGUAUAUUCUGGAACUUCAUCACCAUAUCCAAGACAUUCAAAAUAAUAGAGCUGAUUUUUCAGAUCCUUCUUUGGCUAACCAAAUAUUGAAGGAGUUGAAUGGAUUCAACCCUGGAAAUAUUCUUAAACACUCGGCCUGGUACAUUAUUGGAUUAUUCUCUUUGCUGUUAAUUCUCUUUUGUGUUGUAAUCAUAGGAUGGCGAGUCUUCGGAACAAGAAUACAGAAACUCCAAAGAGUGAACCGCCGCCUCAUUUUUAAGAAAAGAAAGGGGGAAUAUGUGGAGAGCCAUUCUCAUGCUUGACUGGGUGACUCCCGGUUUGGGUCUGAGGUGUUCUGGCUGUGUCGGAACUUUCCCAGCCCUCUCCUGAUGAGAGAACCCGUCCGUGUGGGGGUGUGACUGACCACCGACCCUGACCUUGGAGUGCGGCCCCCCCUCAACCUUCAUUGCAUGGAAUUAUCCCCUGAAUUUCUUGUUCCCCAAUAAAAGGCUACUCCCUGGCGUGCUCGCUCUCUCUCUCUCCUGCUAGCCCUGAGUAAUCCUUGCUGCCCUACGGGUGGUUCGAGGUUGGAGCCAGAGAGGGGAGCCGUCUCGGACCUGGUCAUAGAAAAAGGUAACUGAGUCUGUGUGUUUUAUUUCGAUCUCUGCUAGCUAACUUUUAUGCCAAGAACCUCAUUAAUGAAACCAAUGUGCAGGCCACAUGGUGGAAGCCAGGACUUAAGUUGAUAUGCAAAUAGAAGAAGCCUGGGGCUCAGUAGAGGACAGAUCUGAGAUCCAAAGGAAAAAAAAAGAAAUAAAAGUGUCUUUUUACCUGAACUCAAACUAGACCAAACCAAAAAGUAAAUUGUAUGGUAUUUACUAAUUACUGGCCAGUCAUCUUUUUUAGGACUCUUGCUUUUUCUUAGAUUCUGUAUUUUUUUUUUUGGAGCUCAUGAUUUUGAUCCUGCAGAUGGGUUGAUGUUUUCUGAUCAGUUCUAUUUUUGAUCAACUGUGGAGUUUUUAAACAUUGCAAUGGAGAUUUCACCUGAAAAAAAAAAAAACAGCUACAAGGCCUUGUGUAUAUGUACACACUUGUGCUAUGUGUUGUAUGUCGGUAUGUCUGUAUGUGUGUAUGUCCAUAUAUCAUGCAGUUAUAUGACAAUUGGCAGGUAUAUGAGGAGUGCUCAUAAAAAAUUUAAAAAAAAAUGGACCCAAAUAUCUUUGAUUCACGUGAUUCAAAUGGUUCACUUUAAAUUGGGUAAACAGAUAAAAGUAAAGAUGUCUUUAAAAUUAAGCUUAUAAGUUUUUCUAGGUGUUCAAAAAGGCCCUAAUAAAAUGUUGAUGUCUAUGAAAUAAUCUGCCUAAAUUCAAACAUUUACAAGUAUUGUUUCAAAAGGUGAACAGAAGGAGGUUAACAGAUGGAAAAGAGAAACUAGAAGGUACUAGGUAUGGAUUUAAUAGAGGGAAAAUGUGUUUCUGGAUAAGAGAGUCUAUGUGAUUAAGUAAUUAAGAGGGUUUAAGUAAGUGAUAAAGAAGGUUUGUGUAAGUUGGUUAUAUGUGUAAGUUUUUGAGCAAAUAAUCUUAAAGAAAUUAAAGAUUAUACAACUAUGGUUAAACAACAACUGUUAUUUUUCAAUAUUGUAAUGUUAUUUCUUUAAAAGCUAACCUUGGUUAAUAUAAAAUCAUCAAUGUAAUUGUGGUGUUAUUAAUAUGUUCAUAUCUUCCAGGUAUACAAGUCUGUAAGGUAGAAGCUUCAAAAGAGCAUUAUAUCAAGCUGGUGUUCUAAAGUUGUAUGGUAAUUUUAGGCUUAAAAGAAAAACAUGUUGGAGAUUUAUUUGUCAUUUGUGUUCUAUAACUGGACUUGUUAUCAAUAAGAUAUGUAAAGUUCCAUGUUACUUUUUACACUGAGAUAAAAUUUAAAUGUAUUUUUAAGUUAAUAAGAGCCUAACCUGUGUGAAGGUUUAAUUGUAAAACACAAAAAUACUUUGCUACUUUUCUACAAAAGGUUAAAAGCUUUCAGCCUUUCUUUAAUUCAUGUUUUAGGUGUGAUAUUAUGUUGUGUUAGCUAAUGUUCAUGUAAACUUGAGCAACAAUUUAUGUAGACUUUGUAAAAUGAUGUCUAAAAAAACAAAGAUUGGUUUCAGAACUACAAUAUUUAAGAUUUAUGAAGAGCCCUGCCUUACUUGAGAUAAGGCUCUGUCCCAUCUCACUACAUGUGAAAGUGACUAUGAAAGAAGUAGACCAGAUUUCAGUACAUUUAAAGUUGUGUCCAAAAGUUGGUUUUUGACAUGAUUACCAGGAUCUCAAACAGGGGAUUAUAAUGUAUAACUCUGCCAAAAUUCAAGGUAGCUAUUACAUAAACUGAAUAUGUUUUUACCUUAGUUAAUUUUAUUCUGUAGUUUUCUUAUAGAUGGUCUAAGGAUUGCCUGUUAAUGUUUCAAAGAGGUACUGCUUUAAGAACACACAACCUGGGUUAAUUUAAGAUAAGGAGUUAUCACCUACAGGAUAGAGAGAUAGACAUUAAAGCCCAGUGCUUUUAAUGUAAGGCUGUUAACUUAUUUGCUGGAUGUUUAAGAUUAAGUGUUAAAAUUAAAUUAAAAAGGGCCAAGAAAACCAAUAUUUGGCUCUUGCCCUCUGAGUCAGUCUGAAUCAGGGAAUUGGGGACUUCUCCAAAGAGCUUUGCAACUCUAGGCCACAUAACCUCCUGAACAGGGAGAUUAAUGAGACCAGUAGAGGACAGAAAGCCAAUCAGUGAAUUUUCUGUGAAGAGGAGGGUCAUCAGAAAAGGGAAACAUCCCUGAUGCUUCUAAGGGAAGCCAUAUGGUCAAGCAAGGCCUGGACCCAUCCUAGCGCAAAUGGCACUAGCAGAACUGAGAAGCUGCUGUAAGUUCCCUGAGGACUCCCAGGGAAACUCAGCUGACUGUUAACAAUAGAUAGAAACAAAAGUCAGUUUGACUUGCUUCAUCUUAAGCACUUGGCAAAGACGGCUAAAGCCAAAACACAGCUAUUCCUGGGCAUUUUAAAUGAUAAUAAUAGUUAUUCCAUAAAUAAGUAAACUGGAGGCUACAAAAGAGAUUCUCAGACAGGAAUGCCUGAUAACUAUCAAAAGAAACUGCCAGAGUAGUUUUUAGUUUAUGGCCCACAGAUAUUCCUAACCUACACAGGUAGGCUUAAUGUUUGCUAGUAUGGUUAUCCAGCCCUAAGUAACAGAAUUAAAGAUUUCUCUAUUAGACACAGAGGUCAUACUAGUAAAAGGAUUUUGCAAGAUCAGAUGACAUUAAAUUAUUAAACUGUAUCUUAAGGAAAAGGACAUCUGUAACUCUAAAAGUUAAAUGUUGUUUUUACAUCCCUGACAUUUCUGGCAAUGUGACAAAUAUACUUAAAGAUUUACAUGCUCAGAUAGAAGCCAUGUCCUCAGCAACUUUGUCAUGGAAACAAUAUCUUAGCUCCUGGUUCUUGGUAUUUCCUGGUGGAAAACAUUGUUAGUCUUUGUCUUUGCCAUCAUACUCAUUGGCAUAUUCCUGUGCUAUGGCAUUUAUUGCUGCAUCAAUAUGGUUCCAGUACUAAUGAAUUCUUGUUUCUCUUAUAGACCACCCAUCACUCAAAUGGCCCUCCAGCCUAUUACUUCUCAAUCAGACUUUUAUCAUGGACCACUCGAUAGAUCUGAUUUUUAAAGGGGGACUCCAAACUGCUUGCCCCACACCGUCCCUUAUCAGCCUGAAGAAGCCAGAAAGAUUUUCUUCGCCCCCCUUCCUUACAGCAGUAAGGAGUUCCCAAAUUAGAGGAGGGGAAUGAAGCCAGAUUUAAAGUUAGGUAGUCAGUGUAGUUAGGUAAAUCAGGGUCUAAUACCGAGUGAAAUCUAAAAUGGAGGCCAUGCUGAAAAUGAUUCCAGGAAACGCAGGACAACUCAUGGUAAUCAGACAGCAAUAUGCUCCACUGACAGAGCUGGAAAAUGAGACUCCCCAAUAAUUGUGAUUCAUUACUUUUAAGAUUAAAAGUAGUCAGAAAAAGGAGUGGGGAAUGAAAGGGUAAAAGAAACUGAAGUUAAAGACCAGGCAUUGUAAAGCUUCUAAGCUGCAAAGCCUGAGUUAAAAUGUAAAAGACCAGGUAUUGUUAAGUUCCUAUGCUACACUCAAAACCUGAAAUUCCUGUAGCUGUUAGGACAAUUCACGGGACUGCCCAGUAGAUAUUCCCCCUGACCAUUUAGUUGUUAAAUAACCUGGGCCCUGUGCAGUUUGGCACAUAGGCAUUCAGGGCCCAAACCAAUCAGUUUAAAUGUGUACCCCGCUUUAGGACUAACCUACCACCCCCACCCGACCUGUUCCCGCCAAUGAAUGUACUAAUCAUGUUCGAGAGUUGUUGUUCGAUUUUCCCGCGCCUCAUGAUGAUUUGCUCUGAUGUAUGCAAAGCCCCCGCCCUCCCCAAAAAGUGUACUUAAGCACUGCUUAACCCCUGCUUGGGGCUCUUGGCCACUCUCCCUCCUUGAAUGAGCACGGAGCCCCAGCAUGCUGGAUCCUCAAUAACCCCCCUUUUGCGGUUGCAUGAGUCAGUCUCUUGGUGGUCUCCUCCUCCGUCGUUUGCCGGACCCUUACAAAAUGUAACUUGGCCGUGAUUCUCAUCACCAGGAUCAUUAUCCUGUUGUCAGUUAAAAGUCAAGAGGUGGACCUGGGUGGAACUCUCUGGAAACUUCUAUGGGACCCCCAAUAAAACUGGGGUGCAAGAGAGGCACAUUAUCCACCUCCUCUUUGAGAGGACCCAUUCUCUCCCUUAAGAGUGUCCCCUUUCCCUUUUCCUAUCUGUUUAAUAAAACUCAAUCCUUGUUACUCUAA